Molecule: ribosomal RNA, 296 nt
Filed under: uncultured bacterium
Lineage: Bacteria
Description: partial 16S ribosomal RNA
Rfam family: Bacterial small subunit ribosomal RNA
Source: RNAcentral
CAAAGCCUACGGGGCGCAGCAGUGAGGAAUAUUGGUCAAUGGUCGGGAGACUGAACCAGCCAAGCCGCGUGAGGGAGGAAGGUACAGAGUAUCGUAAACCUCUUUUGUCAGGGAACAAAGGCGGGGACGUGUCCCCGGAUGAGUGUACCUGAAGAAAAAGCAUCGGCUAACUCCGUGCCAGCAGCCGCGGUAAUACGGAGGAUGCGAGCGUUAUCCGGAUUUAUUGGGUUUAAAGGGUGCGCAGGCGGUCUGUUAAGUCAGCGGUCAAAGGCCGGGGCCCAACCCCGGCCCGCCGU